Molecule: RNA transcript, 2843 nt
Organism: Hevea brasiliensis (rubber tree)
Lineage: Eukaryota; Viridiplantae; Streptophyta; Magnoliopsida; Malpighiales; Euphorbiaceae
Gene name: metal tolerance protein 1
Exons: 3
Source: RefSeq, a predicted model, not a curated record
AUACUAUUUAUUCUUUCUUUCCUUCUUGAUUUUCAACUUUUCUUGAAUAUGCUUUGUUAGAUAUGAAUGUGGUGAAUUCCAUUUCUGGUGUGUGGCGUGAUGGGUUUGAUUAGUAUCACUCUUAGUUUCCCUGUUCUUUCUAGAUAAUGAUUGCUCAAUAUUUUAAUUUCCUGUAUUUGGUUUAUCUAAAAUUGCUCUUCUGUUUGGCUAUAUGCUGGUUUGAUGGGUGCCUGCUGACGUAUUUUCUGUCUGUUUAUUUUAUUUUAUUUUGAUUAUCUGUACAGUUGUGGGUAUAAUUGCAUACUCAAUCUCCACAAGUUCUUUUUUUAAGUAAGAGUUUUGUUGUUUGUAUGCGCCUUUUACGUAUAUACUGUUGUUAAUCGCAAUGUCAAGCUAGAUAAAACUUGCUAACAGCAUUUUGUUUUUAAAUGAUGGCGUUCUCUUGAUUUAGUAUUAAUUCAAUAUUGGAUCCCAUAAUGCGGCUCCGUUUUGUUUGUUUUGAUUUACCUUGAAGCGAAAUCUGCUCGUCCCUUCACCUGAGUGAUUGAAUAUUUGUGGAAUUAAUUAGAUAAAUAUGAGGCAGAGGACGUUGGUUUUAAAGGAAAGGCUAAGGUGUUGAACUCAGCAUUCCCACAAUCCCACCCAAAAUAAACUGAAUCAAUUCCAAUUGGUAGAGAAAAGAAGUUUUGAUUGUAUAUUGAGAACUUUUUUACUUAAAUAUAAGACUGUCUUUACCUUAUAGUAAUUCUGAUUUGAAAUUGGUCUUUAAUUGGUGGUUUGAUUUUUAUUUUACACUUCUAUGAUUUUCAUGGCUACUGUACUUUCCAGUUAAGUAGCACUUCUUGUGUAUGAGAAGAUUUUCUGAAAAUAAAUCGACCUUUUAUGCCAUCAUAGAUAGCCUAUUACAUCUAUCCUUGAACUUCAAUACUGUGAAUUGUUGGCAUCUUCUAGGCAAUAACAGUUCCAUGCCUUUAAAGAUGGACGCACAAAAUCCUCAACAUGGACAAAUUAUUGAAAUAAGUGUUGAUGUUCCUGAUGGGGGAAGCAGUGUUGGGGGAAGUAAGAUAUGUGGAGAAGCACCUUGUGGAUUCUCAGAUGCUGGAGCUAACUCCAAAGAUGCCAAAGAACGAUCAGCUUCCAUGCGCAAGCUCUUGAUGGCAGUGGCACUUUGUGUAGUCUUCAUGAGUGCUGAAGUAGCUGGUGGCAUCAAAGCUAACAGUCUUGCAAUAUUGACCGAUGCUGCACAUUUGCUUUCAGAUGUUGCAGCCUUUGCUAUCUCCUUGUUCUCUUUGUGGGCAGCUGGAUGGGAAGCCACACCCCGUCAGUCCUAUGGAUUUUUUAGGGUCGAGAUCCUUGGUGCAUUGAUUUCCAUACAGCUCAUAUGGUUGCUUGCUGGGAUUUUGGUAUAUGAAGCCAUUGUUAGGCUCAUUCAUGAUACAGGUGAUGUAAAUGGCUUUCUAAUGUUUAUAGUUGCUGCUUUUGGUCUGGUGGUAAAUGUUAUCAUGGCUCUUUUAUUGGGCCAUGAUCAUGGGCAUGGCCAUGAUGGUCACAAUCAUGGGAUUGGCCACAUCCAUGGGGAGAAAAUUACCACUCACCACCACCACCACCAGCAUGAAGAGCACUUGAAAGACAAGCACUGUCAUCACGAGGAGCACUCAAAAGAUGAGCACCAUCCUGUGUCUGAAGAAUAUGUUGUGCCAUUGCUGGAUAAAGGAAAAGGCAAGCAUGGCAAAAUUCAGCGAAACAUAAAUGUACAAGGGGCUUAUCUCCAUGUACUUGGGGAUUCCAUUCAGAGUAUUGGGGUAAUGAUUGGAGGUGGAGUCAUAUGGUAUAAGCCUGAGUGGAAGAUAGUUGAUCUGAUCUGCACUCUAAUUUUUUCUGUUAUAGUUUUAGGUACAACAAUCAAAAUGCUGCGAAGCAUACUUGAAGUCCUGAUGGAGAGCACUCCAAGAGAGAUAGAUGCAACAAAGCUAGAAAAGGGGCUGUUGGAGAUGGAGGAAGUGGUAGCCAUUCACGAGCUGCAUAUAUGGGCCAUCACAGUGGGUAAGGUUCUCUUGGCUUGUCAUGUUAAAAUCAGACCAGAAGCAAAUGCAGACAUGGUUCUGGACAAUGUGAUAAACUACAUCAGAAGGGAGUACAAUAUUAGUCAUGUUACCAUCCAGAUAGAGCGUUAGUGGAGGAAGUGGAUCAUCUCAUUUUAUCUGAAACUUCCAUUUUUCCUAUUAUAAUUCAACUCUUCUGAGUUCCUUGAAUCAUUGCUUUCUCUUCAUGUGAUACAAGUUACCAAAUAAGUGUCACAUGUGCAAACAUUAUUCAUUCUAAAGGAAGAAGUUUUUCGUCAGGCUUGGGAAGGAACUUGCAUCGUCUUCAAUUUGAGACAUCCAUUGUCACUGGGAGUUGGGGUCUACCACUGAUUAUUUUAAGUGAUUGUUUAAUUAAAUAGCAGCUGGGAGCAUGAUGCUGGGAAGUGGGGGCGCUUGUGUCUGUAACUUCCCAUAGAAUCUGCUUUUACUGUGAAAUAAUGGGUGGGAGAUUCAGUAACUUAAAGGUUCUUCAACCCUGUGGGGAGUGGAUAAGGUUAUCUCACUAGUAUUUCCAUCUUAUGGUCUCUACGUGGACCAGAAUUAAUAAGUCAGCUAGAGGACAAGUACAAAUAUCUCCAGUGCAGGGCACAUGAGAAUGGGAAUGCCUCUGGCUGUGUGGCUUAAUCCUAAGGUGUACCAUAGUUUUUUCUUAUAGGUGGAAAAUAGAUGCUUCAGAUCAAAAUGGAUAAGGUUCUUAAACAUUAUCAAAGAAAGUACGUGGUAUGAAUUUUAUUGAAAUGAAUUUGUCGUCUUUGCAAA